CGCAUUUGGCUAAUCUAUCACCAUACUCCGGAGAACCUGAUGAAUAUCUAGCUUUUAAAACGGUAGCGCUUUAUAUUCUAGACUUAUACUCGGGCGAAUUUGAGACUGAUAAGGAGAGAGUCGCUUAUCUAAUCAGUUUGCUGGAAGGGAACGCUAAAUUAUGGACUAUUCCUCUUAUGGCAAGCCAGCACAGUGCACUCUCAAACCUGGAGGAGUUUUUGCAAAUGAUGGAUAGUAUGUUCCAAAAUCCCCUGCAGAAUGCUAUGGACGAGCAGCAACUGCUGAACCUACGUCAGGGCAGUGACUCAGUCUCUACUUAUUGGACUUCGUUCAUCUUGUUGGUGCAGAAGCUUGGGUGGCAGGCAGACAGUCCGCCUUUGGCCGCUUUGUACCGAGCUGGGUUGAAUGGAUCUAUCUUGGAUGAAUUGUCAAGAAUGGCGCCCCUUGAAUCUUUGGAAGAUUUAGUACGAGCUUCUCUGCAAAUUGGCGUGAGGCAGCAGCAGAGGGCGUUGGAGAAGAGGGGGCAAGGGCGGCCAAUGUUUGUGAGAAGCCACAUUCCUAGCAUGCCAGGAAAGAGAGUUGGCAGUACAUCCAGACAGGAAGAUGCUCCUGAACCAAUGCAGCUGGGCUCAGCAGGGAGGGUGACUCCUGAAGCUGCAUGGAUGGAUGGAGGCAGACGCUGCAGAGAGACUCGCCGUUGCUUUGCAUGUGGCAAACCAGGACAUUUGGCAAGACAGUGCCCAAGCAAAAAGGCAGGGGGUUCUCUGUCUAGGCCUGUGUAGAGGGAGGACCAAAGCCUAAGGAAGCAAUGGCGGGAAACGAGAAGCCCUAGUCCAUGAAAGUGUCUGGCGGCUGGGAUGCAAGUCAAUAAAAGGGCCUCAGGUUGAAACAGCCGUCCCUGAAAUUGCGGUGCCAGUUACGCUACAAUUCCCAAAUGGCCGCAGAGUGCAGGUGCAGGCUCUCAUAGGCUCAGGGGCCUCCCUGGACUUUCUGGACUCAGACUUUGUGGAGCAGCAGACAGCGGCUGGAAGCCCCUCUAGAGGUGCAAACCAUUGAUGGCAGGCUGUUGGUGUUGGGACAAGUUACUUAUGCUACACAGCCCAUGGGGGUAGAAUUGCUGGGCCACAAGGAAACAAUGAUGUUCCACGUCACAAAGCUGGCCACAUACCCUCCAGUUUUGGGAAUGAAGUGGCUCACAAAGCACGAUCCUGUGAUAGCGUGGGGGCAGCGUUUCAUAAUGUUUGUUUCAGCAUACUGCCAAGCACACUGCCUAGGGUUCAGAGUGCCAAAAGAGGUAGGAGCCAAAGGGACAGAGGUAAGAGGGAAACUCACAGGAGAGUAGAGUAGUCCUGGGCCCUAAGGAAGUUACGAUUAGCUUCAACCAGAGCCAGGGCCUUUUCAACUCUGGCUCCGACCUGGUGGAACGCUCUGCCUCAUGAGACCAGGGCCCUGCAGGAUCUGAUUUCUUUCCUCAGGGCCUGUUAGACAGAGUUGUUCCGCCUGGCCUUUGGCUUGGAGCCAAAUUGAUUCCCUCCCUCCCUCUCUUUCUUUUUUCUUUUCCUUCUCCUCCUGCGAUGAGGCAUUUUAAUAUUUUAAUGUUUCAAUAUUUUAAUGUUGUAUUUUAAUUUUGUUUUAAGUUGUAAUCAUUCAACUUGUUUUUAUUAUUGCUUGUUAGCCGCCCUGAGCCCGGCCUUGGCUGGGGAGGGCAGGGUAUAAAUAAAAAAUUAUUAUUAUUAUUAUUAUUUUAUUUAUUACAUCCCUGCAGUAUAAGGCCUAUAGAGACGUGUUCUGUGAAAAGGAGGCAGAUAGGCUACCUCUCCACAGGCCUUACAACUGCAAGAUAGACCGGCUGCCUGGUGCCCAGAUGCCCACCAGAUAUGUCGGAGGCAGAAUUGGCCGAUUUGAGGGAGUUCCUGAAGAAGAACUUGGAACGCAGGUUUAUUAGGCCGUCCCAAGCGCCUGGAGGGUCCCCAGUCUUCUUUGUGAAUAAGAGGGACCCCCCAGAAUGCAGGCUAGUUGUGGACUUUAGAAAGGUCAACAGGGUCUCUCAAAUUACAGCAGGGCGUUGAGGAAGUUAGCAGCUCUGAGAAAGGAGAACAGCAAAGUUAUGCAGUGUUGGGAGAAGGGGAAGCAGAGCAGCAAGGUGACACGUCAUUGGACAGCAUAACCAGCCCCCCUUCUCCCAAAACGCGGCGUUCAAUAAGGGUCCGAGAACAAAGAGCUCAAAGGCAAUUGUCCACUGACAGACGCCAUAGAAGCAAAUGCUGUUGCUAGAGGGGGAAGGGGGAGGAGUGAAGUGGAAGCAACUCCGUUAUGGAGGAACAACCAGAAUACCUUGUCUUUACCAUGUUGUUUUUUUAAAAAUGUAUUUUUAUUAAAGAUUUUCUUGGUUUACAAAA
Podarcis raffonei (Aeolian wall lizard) is the source of this 2399-nucleotide long non-coding RNA. RefSeq lists it as uncharacterized. The transcript has 2 exons. The record is from RefSeq and is a predicted model, not a curated record. Lineage: Eukaryota; Metazoa; Chordata; Lepidosauria; Squamata; Lacertidae.